This 253-nucleotide ribosomal RNA is filed under the name uncultured bacterium. Its description in RNAcentral is "partial 16S ribosomal RNA". It matches the Rfam family "Bacterial small subunit ribosomal RNA", at positions 524 to 776 of the family's 1533-position model. The record is from RNAcentral.
UACGUAGGGUGCGAGCGUUAAUCGGAAUUACUGGGCGUAAAGCGUGCGCAGGCGGUUUUUCAAGACCGAUGUGAAAUCCCCGGGCUUAACCUGGGAAUGGCAUUGGUGACUGGAAGGCUAGAGUGUGUCAGAGGGGGGUAGAAUUCCACGUGUAGCAGUGAAAUGCGUAGAGAUGUGGAGGAAUACCGAUGGCGAAGGCAGCACCCUGGGAUAACACUGACGCUCAUGCACGAAAGCGUGGGGAGCAAACAGG